UACGGAGGGUGCAAACGUUGCUCGGAAUCAUUGGGCGUAAAGCGCACGUAGGUGGCUUGUUAAGUCGGGUGUGAAAUCCCUGGGCUCAACCCAGGAAGUGCACUCGAAACUGGCGAGCUUGAGUACUGAAGAGGGUCGCGGAAUUCCCGGUGUAGAGGUGAAAUUCGUAGAUAUCAGGAGGAACACCGGUGGCGAAGGCGGGUCUCUGGGCCGAUAUUGACGCUGAGGAGCGAAAGCAUGGGGAGCGAACAGG
This 253-nucleotide ribosomal RNA is filed under the name uncultured bacterium. Its description in RNAcentral is "partial 16S ribosomal RNA". It matches the Rfam family "Bacterial small subunit ribosomal RNA", at positions 524 to 776 of the family's 1533-position model. The record is from RNAcentral.